AAAUAAAGUAAUAUGCACCUAUUCUAGGAUGAUAACAUGGGAGUAUAAUUUAAGAGAAUACCAUAAUCCUACUACUACUAUCAAUAAUACCUUCAGAUGAAAAGAACUUAUUACUUUCCAAGAUGACCUGCUCAGACUAUGAUUCCUUCUCUAUCUCUGGGAGAUGUCAUUCCAACUCUCUCAAGAGUUAGUGAAAGUACCCAGAACAAUUCAUUUCAUUCUCUAAAAAUUACAUUGAAGAGUCUUGGAGGGAGUGCAGAGCCUGAGACCAUCUCCAUUCUCAUGUAG
RNAcentral lists this long non-coding RNA (288 nucleotides) under Fukomys damarensis (Damara mole-rat). Its description in RNAcentral is "lncRNA (ENSFDAG00000030389.1)". The record is from RNAcentral. Lineage: Eukaryota; Metazoa; Chordata; Mammalia; Rodentia; Bathyergidae.